GACUGCGUGUAUCCGGUGGGGAGGGCACAGGAGGGUCAUUUUAAGUAAUUAGUGGAACUCCGAGGAGGAUUUUUACCUGCUGACCACCUCCCGUCUACAUCUACAGAUUUAUUUCAGUGUUUGCUGCUGGUAACGUUAUGCUUUUAGAAACAUGUUUACACAUUAGCCAACUUCUUUAUUUUAGCUAGCUUGUAAAUACAACAUGCUUUCCCAAAUCUUUGAUUGGGUCCAACUUGUGACAAACUAAAAACACCUGAGAGGCUCAAACAGGUUUCGUUCUAUGACCUGAUUCUUUAAGCACUUGAAGCAAAGCAGGAGGGGAUGCCGCCUUUAGUUGGAGCUGAGCUGAUCCAGACGCCGCUGCAGCUUUAUCGAUUCCUCCUCAGAUGCUGCAGGCAGCUGCCGUCCCCAGCGAUGCAGCAGCACUACCGACACGCCAUACGACAGGGUUACAACAGCCACGCGGAUGAAGAUGAUCCAGAGAGGAUCCAGAUGAUAAUACAGAGAGCUGUCACAGAUGCAGACUGGAUUCUAGAGAAGUAUACCAAGAAGAAGUGAGCUGAGGAGGGAGUCUGAGGCGGUUCCUAACAUCCCAGGGUCUUCACAUUAUUUGCUCCUCAUUGUUUUGAAGAUGUGAAAAGAAAACCUUUCAGGCUUUCCUCUCGACACGGUAAAUCCUCCCAGCUGCAGCGGGAGGAUGUUUUCUGAUGACGCCGGAGCUUGGAAUUACUUGGGAGAAGAAGCUGCAGCAGGAGCGACUCUACAGCGGGAGUCGCCCAGUACAGG
This is an RNA transcript of Melanotaenia boesemani (Boeseman's rainbowfish), 786 nucleotides long. It is a transcript of the gene named LYR motif containing 9, with no coding region annotated. The record is from RefSeq and is a predicted model, not a curated record. The transcript is spliced from 5 exons. Lineage: Eukaryota; Metazoa; Chordata; Actinopteri; Atheriniformes; Melanotaeniidae.